AUUGAACGCUGGCGGCAUGCCUUACACAUGCAAGUCGAACGGUAACAGGUCUUCGGAUGCUGACGAGUGGCGAACGGGUGAGUAAUACAUCGGAACGUGCCUAGUAGUGGGGGAUAACUACUCGAAAGAGUGGCUAAUACCGCAUGAGAUCUACGGAUGAAAGCAGGGGAUCGCAAGACCUUGUGCUACUAGAGCGGCCGAUGGCAGAUUAGGUAGUUGGUGGGAUAAAAGCUUACCAAGCCGACGAUCUGUAGCUGGUCUGAGAGGACGAUCAGCCAGACUGGGACUGAGACACGGCACAGACUCCUACGGGAGGCAGCAGUGGGGAAUUUUGGACAAUGGGCGCAAGCCUGAUCCAGCAAUGCCGCGUGCAGGAUGAAGGCCUUCGGGUUGUAAACUGCUUUUGUACGGAACGAAAAGCCCUGGGUUAAUACCCUGGGGUCAUGACGGUACCGUAAGAAUAAGCACCGGCUAACUACGUGCCAGCAGCCGCCGUAA
This 498-nucleotide ribosomal RNA is filed under the name uncultured bacterium. Its description in RNAcentral is "partial 16S ribosomal RNA". It matches the Rfam family "Bacterial small subunit ribosomal RNA", at positions 30 to 523 of the family's 1533-position model. The record is from RNAcentral.